AUUGAACGCUGGCGGCAUGCCUUACACAUGCAAGUCGAACGGUAACAGGUCUUCGGAUGCUGACGAGUGGCGAACGGGUGAGUAAUACAUCGGAACGUGCCUAGUAGUGGGGGAUAACUACUCGAAAGAGUGGCUAAUACCGCGUGAGAUCUACGGAUGAGAGCAGGGGAUCGCAAGACCUUGUGCUAAUAGGGCGGCCGAUGGCAGAUUAGGUAGGUGGUGGGAUAAAAGCUUACCAAGUCGACGAUCUGUAGCUGGUCUGAGAGGACGAUCAGCCACACUGGGACUGAGACACGGCCCAGACUCCUACGGGAGGCAGCAGUGGGGAAUUUUGGACAAUGGGCGCAAGCCUGAUCCAGCAAUGCCGCGUGCAGGAUGAAGGCCUUCGGGUUGUAAACUGCUUUUGUACGGAACGAAAAGCCCCGGGUUAAUACCCUGGGGUCAUGACGGUACCGUAAGAAUAAGCACCGGCUAACUACGUGCCAGCAGCCGCGGUAA
This 498-nucleotide ribosomal RNA is filed under the name uncultured bacterium. RNAcentral's name for it is "partial 16S ribosomal RNA". It matches the Rfam family "Bacterial small subunit ribosomal RNA", at positions 30 to 523 of the family's 1533-position model. The record is from RNAcentral.